AUGGCCCUAGAAACCCAUCGCCAGAAGCAAGCGCGCCACAACCUCAUCGCCAACAUGGAUCCGGCCCUGAAAGCGUACCUCGACAAGAUGAGCGACGAGGCCGCCGCCCGCGCCAACCAGCAAGAGGACGACAACAAGGCCAUCCUCAAGGCCGUGGCGACGCAGACCGCAUGGAUUGACGCUCUUGUCUCAUGGAAGCCAAAGUUGGAGGCGCGGUUCGUGCAAUUGGAGAUCUCGGUUGCCGCGCUCCAAGCCGCCUCAGCGUCAUCGGCACCACCCACCAGCUGGCUGCCGACGACGACUUCUCCAGUUGUCGCGCGUGAGAUUCAAGGGCAACCAGGCCACGACGCGUCACUUCACCCAGGGGGAUCUUUGACGGUGACUUUAGAGUCACUGGCGGCUUCCCCGGUCAUGGGUAUGACCAUGAUCCCAUCGUCGAAUUCUUCCCCGUUGUCCUCACAAGUACUGGCGGCGAUGGGGUAA
Molecule: ribosomal RNA, 483 nt
Filed under: Triticum aestivum (bread wheat)
Lineage: Eukaryota; Viridiplantae; Streptophyta; Magnoliopsida; Poales; Poaceae
Description: partial small subunit ribosomal RNA
Source: RNAcentral